This 434-nucleotide ribosomal RNA is filed under the name uncultured Lachnospiraceae bacterium. RNAcentral's name for it is "bacterial SSU rRNA". It matches the Rfam family "Bacterial small subunit ribosomal RNA", at positions 341 to 792 of the family's 1533-position model. Lineage: Bacteria; Bacillati; Bacillota; Clostridia; Lachnospirales; Lachnospiraceae. The record is from RNAcentral.
ACGGGAGGCAGCAGUGGGGAAUAUUGCACAAUGGGGGAAACCCUGAUGCAGCGACGCCGCGUGAGUGAUGAAGUAUUUCGGUAUGUAAAGCUCUAUCAGCAGGGAAGAAAAUGACGGUACCUGACUAAGAAGCACCGGCUAAAUACGUGCCAGCAGCCGCGGUAAUACGUAUGGUGCAAGCGUUAUCCGGAUUUACUGGGUGUAAAGGGAGCGUAGGCGGCAUGGCAAGCCAGAUGUGAAAGCCCGGGGCCCAACCCCGGAACUGCAUUUGGAACUGUCAGGCUAGAGUACCGGAGAGGUAAGCGGAAUUCCUAGUGUAGCGGUGAAAUGCGUAGAUAUUAGGAGGAACACCAGUGGCGAAGGCGGCUUGCUGGACGAUGACUGACGUUGAGGCUCGAAAGCGUGGGGAGCAAACAGGAUUAGAUACCCUGGUA